UCACACUUAAUUUGGUAGUUUGGUUUCGUUUGCAUCAUGCCUAGCUUCCAAUUCUAACACCCAAAUGCAAUUUUCAGUUCUUACCUCUCUGUUUCCCUCUACACUCCCGAAUCCUCCUCACUCAUCUGGAAGUAACACAGUGGUUUGCUGAUUUUCAUUCCCAAAAUGAGCAAAGCAGGUGUCAGAUUGAGGAUCAGAUUCAAGUGCAUCUUAUUGUUGAAAUCAUUUCCUGUUUGCUGAUCCUGGCUGAUGAAGAAGUUGGAGGAGAUUGAUAUUCAACCUUUGAAGGUUGUUGAAACAGAAUCUACAGUCCAAGCACCCUCCAAGAGAAUUGAAGGUUCCCAAGUCACUGUUAAUUGAAACCUCCACAACCGAGUCCGAGGAUCAAACAACUGCAACACAAUAUAUACAGCAAGAAGGUAACAAGAAAUUCCAACUAGACCUCCAUCAUGAGUAUGGAAUAUUUUACUGAAAUAGUUUUAUGCAUUCAAAUGGGGGAUAUUAGAGGAGUGUUAGCAAUACACUUUCUAACACCUCUACGAUGGUUAAUUAAUGAAAACUACAAAAUUAUGAUUGAAGCCAGAUCGAUGAGCAAAGUUUUGUGAUUUUUAGUAAAUUUUAAUCCAUAAUAAAGAGUAUAUUCAAAAGAGUCUGUUAGUGACAGACAUUUCUCAAUGGGGAAAUAUAAAUAUAAGUCACGUACAAAUGAAAUGCAUGAGAUUAAGUUUGCUUCAGAUAUAUAGGAACAAAAAAUUGAAAAAUGAUUGCCAUUUAUUUAUUGAGGCAAUGCUAGAUUUUUUCUGAAGCUCUUUGGGGAUCAUAAUUCAUAAGUAAACCAUGUUGUCAUUCCAACCAGAAAGAAAAGAUGAAGGAGAUGGUUGCUGUUUGCUUUGAUAAUUGAAUGAACAAUUAAGCAAGAGAGGCAUUGAGUAAGAUAGCAAUCAUGGAAGAACUACUCUUUAGGUUUGUGUGAAAGCAGAAAGAUUUAGAUACAACAUGAGUGUUGUUCAGCUUUUAUUUAAUGUUUCAUCCAGGAUUUACAAUGACAACCAGCAAGGGAACAGUAUUAAAAUUUUCAUGAAUAAAAACAUAAGAAAAGGCUUAUUAUCUCUUAUAUGUAAAUUACCUUGCAAAAUGUAAGUCUUACUACUGAUUGUUGGACUGGACGUGGAUGCAAAAUCUGAAUUUAAUUAUAUAUGUGUAUCAUUUUCCCCUUCAUAGAUAAAGAAAUACACAGUCCACAAGAGGAUUAAGAUGAAUUUGUUAAAUACGUACUUGAGUAUUGACAAAAGGAGGGGGUGACUAUUAAGUUAAUUUGACUAUAGAAAUAUAAUGAGAUUAAAAAUUUGACUUAUUGUACAAAGAUGAAAAGCAAAUCACUUGUGUCUCGGGGUGCUCGAAUAAGGUGGAAUUCCACCUUGAUGUUAGAGUCUGCUUUUAAAUUACAAACAACAUUUUAGAGACUUGAAGAUACUAAUGGGAACUAUUUGUUUGAGUUUUAGGUGUAAGAGGAUCUUCCAGAGAGCUAGUUAUUGAUGAUUGAUGACAUUAAAUCCCUGGAUAUAGCAAAAUGAAACGAAAGCAUGAGAACUAUUAAUUGGGGAAACUUAAUUAGUUACUGAAUGCUAUUUGUUUAUACCAAGUUUCUGUGGGACCAAAGAUAUAAAAUAAACUUUGUUGGGUUUCUUUAAUUUGCUAACUGAAUGGUUUUGAAACUGCAAAAGCAUUGGCUUCCAAUUAAUGUGAAAGAAACAUUAACCUCGUUGUUUGAGCAUUAUUUCUUUUAUUGUGAGGUAGUAGCUCAAGAACUGAACACUUCUGAGUUUCAGUUCCUCAUGCUAAGGAUUAUGGAGCCUUCAAGGAAGACAUUUAUAUAUAUAUGUGUGUGUGUGUGUGUGUGGAUUUUGCUGAAUUAAUGAGUAAGGAAUAUCUCUUUGAGAACAAAAACGAAAACGAAACCAAGAGAGGAAUCAUCUGUAAAUUGGAAUUCAUUAAUUGGUCGAAGAUAAACUCUUCAAAAUAUUUUGUACU
Glycine soja is the source of this 2031-nucleotide long non-coding RNA. RefSeq lists it as uncharacterized. The transcript is spliced from 3 exons. Lineage: Eukaryota; Viridiplantae; Streptophyta; Magnoliopsida; Fabales; Fabaceae. The record is from RefSeq and is a predicted model, not a curated record.